UAUAUUUUUUGUGAUUUCAAUUCAUAGGGAUGGGAAAUACAUUUGAUAUGUAUCCAAUGCAAGACCUUAACAUAAAUGACAGGAAAUAUACCUGAGUUCAACUGAACAACACUGAAAAUUUUAAGCCACCGAAUGCCUGUGGUUCUUCAUCUAGGACUGGGACCUAGUGAGACUUUUCUCCAUCCAUGCUGGCAUGCCCAUCAUUUGGUUUUUGCAAGUCUUCAGUGCCACAGAAAAGAAUCAGGGUCAUUUGUGGUGUAUGAAGAACUCUACAGGAAAGGUGAAAAGCAUGGCUGCCAAUGUUGAAAGAACUUUUUAUCUAUGGGAAGUUUAUAUAAGGACAGAGUGAUGACUCAGAGGUAAGAAGCCCUGGCCAUUUUUUCCAGUGGACACAAGCUGAUUCUCAGCACUCGUAUGGUGGUUUAUAAGUACACAUAUCUCCAGUUUUUCUGGAUCCAACACCCUCUUCUGGCUGUCAUGGGCACCAGGUUCAUACUUGGUGCCUGUACAUACAUCCAGGCAAACACACAGUACAAAAGUUAAAAUAAAUCUAAAUCUACCAAGAGAAUCAUGAAAAUAUGAAUUUACAUUUAUGUAUCUCUGAAUAUAUACAUUAAUGUAAACACAAAGGUUUUUAAGCAUCCAAAUUUUCUUUAUUAUGAUUGCUUUUAAAUUUAUCAUCAAUCACUUAUAUUUCAGACAUGUAAAAUAAUUUAAAAUAAAAUAUUAAAACAAUUACUCAUGGGACACAUGUGUAAAACACAAGUUAACACUAAUAAUGUUUGAUAUUAAGGCCUUUUUGCUUCACAAAAUUCUCUUCAUAUGUGACUGUAAUUGUAGAACAUAUGCUGUGCUUUCUCUUACUGCAGAAAUAAUUAAAAAGGAAAGGCAAGAGAUUGGAAUGAAUGUUCUCAGUGACCAUUCUUUACUACAUCCCAACCACAAUAGUAUCACCGACAGUCUAUCUAUACACCGAGAACUACAUUUACUAUCCUUGAUCACGCUUACAAGAAAGCAUAUUCAAAACCAAGGUCACACUGGUUUGCUUAUUGAAGGAUCCUAAUUAAAAUAUUAGCAUGUGUAAAGCAACUUUUUAGACAGUGUGUGAAUAUUGUGAGGAUGUUUAAGACAAGUUUUGCAGAAUCCAGGGUUUUCAUCUGCAAACAUAAAUAUGCCAGGAAGUAGAACACGCUUUGUGCUACAGAUGGCAAAUGAUUUUGAAGUUCAGAGACACUGAAUAUCACCAAUGACGCCAUCUAUGAGGGUCAUCCUCCUAAAAAAUGUGGGAAAAGCACGCUCUCAAUACUUUUAUUUCUUUUAAAAAAUAACAUAUACUAUGGGAAGGUAGAGAUCAAAAAUAAAAAAUACUAUUUUAGAUGUGCACUUAUGUUUUUAUAUUAUUUUGCAGUAAAAAUUUCUGACAAUUUUCUAGAAAGAAUUUAUUAUGCUAUACUGACACACAAAAUGUACAUAAUGCAUAUUAGCAGUUUCAUUGAAGAUUCCAUUCAUGGUGAUUUGUCGGCAUUUUUCUCUGGCUCUUCUAAGUGGUGGCCAUAAACACCCAGAGAGUUAUCCACUAGAAUUAUUGCUUGCUUUCUCCCUGGAGACCAAGAAAGAGAAUGAAAAUGCAAGGACACUUUCUGCAGUGUAACUUGUGAAUACAUAUGGAAUUGUGAAGAAAUGUCUGUUCAACAAUCAGUUCUGACUAUGGAUGAUGGCCUGUGCUCAAAAAGCCUUAAACGUUGCUUGCAGUUUUACUGUUGCCAUGGUAAUAUUCUUAUUUUUGUGUAAAACCCUCUGCAUUUUUAAUAUUAAUGAGGAACACAAACUAUACGUUUUUGAUUGAUCACUUUAAAACUGUAUUUUGUCUUUAUGUGUUUUAUCCUUUCUUCUCAUCUCUGCAAAGUCUUCCUCUUUCUCUUGCCUCUAUUUAUCUCAAUUUCCUUCCAUAUGUCUAUGUGUCUAUCUGCUUGUUGUCUGUCUCCACUGCUAGACUGCUAUGCCAGACACUCCAAAGGCAAGGGAUAAUUGCUUAUACAUGACAUGCUUUAUCACGAGACAGCCUAGGUCACAUAUUUACCUGCAGUUUCAACAAGCUGAUUAUACAUUUCAAGAAAAUAACUGCUAUCUUAAAAUAUUACGGCUAGGACUGAAGUCUCAAAAAACGUUGAAAAAAUGGCCUUGUUAGCACGUUUAAAAAUUUACCAAUCUGGAACAAGACCUGGUCCCACUGCUAGCCUCGAACCCCCUCACAACAGAUCAAGUCACAUGAGUGUCACUCACAUUCAAAGGACCUGGUUUGGAAGAGUGGUUUGGGGUGGGAAGGGAAGAGGUGGAGUACAGGAGAAGAGAGUUAGGGGGAUAUUAUGUCACUUUCAGUUAUGGCUAUGAUCAAGUUUUUUUUUUCCAAAUUGACUUUAAAUUGUUUUCCUAUUUCUGUUUUUAUGUCUUUUUAUGGUUUGGAGUCAGACUGAUUUGAAAUGACUAGCUGCAGGAUGCUAGCUUACAGCUUGUAAGUUCAUGUGGUCCAUGCAAUAAUUUUGGUGAUAGCAAGGUAGAAGAAAAGACUAUUGUUUGAUAACAAUAAAUGAGAACAGAAAUGAGCAUAAAGAUAGAGAGUGAAAAAAUGAAGCCAGAUAAACAUAUUGUAUCAAAUCUAAUAAGAAAUACAUAUUUUAUCAGUCAUAUUAAUCUCAGUGGGCAUUUCCCCCCUUUGUUUUUUCCUCUUUGCCUUCCUUGUUUUUUCUUCUCUUACUUCUCUUUUAUAUCACUUAAAACAUUUAUUUACUAUUUCCUUUGUGCAAUGAAUUUAACUGUUUACACAAAUAUGCUUCCUUUGUUUUUGAUUGUUGGUUUCUGUUCUUUAAAAACGUAUGGAGGAACCCUGGAAGCUGGAAAAUCCAUUGCUAUAUGUCACCAUGAUCACAUAAUUAGAAUUCUUUAUUUUAUGUGUGUGAAUAUGUUGCCUACAUGUUUAUAUAUGCACUACAUGCAUGCCUGGUGACCAUGUAAGUCAAAAGAGGGUGUAAGAUCCCCUGGAACUGAAGUUAUGAUGGCGGGAAUGUGAAUGCUGGGAAUCAAACAUAGGGCCUCUGGAAGGGCAACAAAUGCUCUUAAUGGCUCAGUGUUUCCUGCAGUCUCUUGUAUUAUUGCAAGCCUCCUGAGGAAGACGAAAAGGGGAUUUCAAGAUUCUGUAUUGGCCAGUUCGGAGUUGAGAGGAGAUGAGGAUAAAAUUACAGAAGGAAGGGUACAAAAUUUUCAAAAACAGCUCCUUGAUAAAUCAUGGUGCUUGGGGAAAAACACAGAACAAAACUGCUUUGAGCUGUUCUGCGUUUGACCUUCCCUGCUUGAAAGCUUCUUUGAACCCCACACCGAGCAGCUUCCAUAUUAUUCUGUAUAUAUUUGCAGACUACUGAGCGCUGUUGUAACAAUCCACUUUGAAGUCACUCUCAGUGGCUCACCAACUGAUGAAAGAAAGUCCUGUAGUCAUUCUUAGUGGGUCUGGGACAUGGGAAAGCAAAGAGGAAUCCUGGGAAAUGGGACUGAACAGGUCUUCAAAGGGCCUUUUCUCCCCCUGUUAAAAUGUUCUUUCUCAGUUACCCACUGCUCAGUAAAGAGUUCUGAUCCUCAAGCAUUUUAUUUGGAACAACAUGAAUGGUUUUACUCUGAAUAGUCACAAGGCAAAUGACAGGUUAUAUUUAAUUUUUUAUAUUUUUAUUUACAUAAGCCUUAGUGAUAUCCCUGCUUGCUGUAUAAUUUGAUUUAUUUUGAGGCAUCAGAAGGAAUCCAUUGAAGUUGAACAUGGAAAUUGCCCAUUUGCACAGAAAAACAUCUAACACCAAGCAGAGUAGUGAAUAAUAUUCCAUUUGAAAAAAGACAUAAAGAACUUGAAGUAACUCGUGAACAUAUUUAUAUUCACAGAGUAUAUCCAAAUGCAAGAAUGCUACCUAAAGAAUAAUCAAGUACAAAAACAUGUUUGAAAAUGUUUCUCAUUAAUUUAUAUGACAAUCAUUUUUAAAAGUAGUAAUUAAUUUUAAUUCCUUAAGGCUUCUAAUGACAAAUACAGAAGUUUGUAUGACUAUGAGAUGGACCUGCAGAAUAUACAAAAUAUAAGCAGAAUUAUGAACUACUGUAUGGAUUUGUUGACUUCUCUCCCUCCUUUUCUCCCUUAAUUUUAUGUUUUGAAACAGGAUUGCAUAUAACCCAACCUGGCUUCAUACUUUAUAUGCAUUCCAGAAAAACCUUAAACUUCUAACCCCUUUGCUUUGACUUCCCAGUGAAUUCUUGAAUUGUAGGCAUGCAUCUCCACACCCACCAGUAUAUACUCUGCUGGGGAUUUGAACUCAGGACUUUGUGUGCUAGGUAAGCUCUUAGGGUUGCAGUUACAUGUUUAUCCCUUCACAUUUAAAAAAUAGUUUAUUUAUUUUUAUUUUACAUGCAUUGGUGUUUUGUCUGCAUAUAUGUCUUUAUAAAGGUGUCAGAACCCUUGGAGCUGGAGUUACAAAAAGUUGUAGACUGCUAUUUGGAUGCUCUUAAUUGAACCUGGGUCAUAAGGAAGAGCAGCCGGUGCUCUUAAUCACUGAACCAUCUGUUAAACCCCUCCCUAUCUUAAUGUAGUACUUUUUAAAAUAGUGUGGAGAGUUUGAUCCACUAGUUUGUUUUACAUUCAGAGUUCAGUCUGUGGUACAAUGCUUAUUUACUUAUUUUUUCUUUGAAUUAUAGGUCUUUUAUUUCAUUUUUGAUGUACAUAAAUAUACAGAAAUAUUGAAAAAUAUAUAGAUGCAUAUUUUUCUCCUCCCCCAAUUUUAAGACCCCGCCUACCUACCCACUCUAUGCUGUUACUAUCUCUUGCUGUAGAAAACAAACAAGAAUAAAAGAAAAUCAAAGGAAAGAGAAAGAACAAGAGCAAGAAGCACAACAUCUUGCACACACAUGGCCACAAACAAACACAUUGCAACAAAACACAUAUUGUAAACGAUGAUCUACAAGGAAAAGACCACUAGAACAAAACUAUGCCCAUACAAAGCAAGCUUUAUUAAAUAGAACAGAUGACUCCCAAUUCUGUUUCUGCCUGCCAAGCCUUAGUUUGAUCAAAUUAAGAGUGAAGAGGACAACAUCUCUUCCAUAUGGCAUGGAUUCUGAUUGCUUGAUUCUAGGUUUAGUGUUAAACCCCAGCAUGAGGAAAGACAGCCUGGGCGAGCUCCAGCUUUCUCAACUACAAAGGAAAAUAUUAACAACAGUAGCUGCUUCAGUCUCAGAGAAGUCUAAUGUGCUAGCAUGUGUAAAACGUAUCUUAGAUGAGUAUUUUAUAUGCAGUCAGUGCUAUUUGUGUGCUUUUUUUGGUCUGUUGCUAUACAUUUUUGUGAGCUUUUUAAAUAAAUUAAUGUUAAUUUCAUGAAUAAUACUUGUAAUACCCUGUCUCUUUUUAGAAUAAACAUGUAUCAAAUAGUUAAAGAAAAAAUGGUUUGUCAUUAAAUAAAUUUUCUUAACAUGGAUAAUAUUCUUCAAUUAUAUGACUAAAGUCUGCUAUUUUUUGCUUUUCUAAAGAGUUGCUAACCAAAAAGGAACCUAUAAUUAAUGAUAUGUGAUCAAGUUUAUGGCUAUUAUGUCAUCUCAAUGACUAUUAUAUGCUUGUGAAUAUAGUUUAAAAAUAAAAUUUAAAAGAACUUUUCUUCAUAGAUGUGGUGAAAAAUUAUGAUAAAGUAUUCAAGCAAAACUAAUAAGAUCCUUAAUUUUAUUAUAGCUUUCUUAGUCAUAUUAGCCUAAUUUGUGCUAUAAUUAGUUUAAUUUGUGCCAUUAUUAGAGCACUGAUAGAUAAUUUAAACCACUUUUAAAUAAAAUUGAGAACAGGGACUAAGUGUCUAGUUCCAUAGUGGAAUGUAUGCUUAGCAUGUGCCAGACUGUAGGUUCAUGUUUUCAUAUUCCUCUCCCUAAACAAGGGAAAUAUGUUGAUAUUUUUUAUAAUAAUGAGAACUGCUUGCCAAAUUUUUAUUUAAAUUCAUGCAUCUGUAUUUGACUAAUGUUUAUCCAAAUACUUAGUUCCAGGAAUAAAAAUAGUGCUAAAUGUAAGUUCAAGAUUUAAGUAUUUUGAAUGGGACAAAUACACAAAAGAAUACAAAAUUAUGUAAAGCAAGCACAGGAAUGAUGGAAGAAAGCCCAAUGAGAUUACAAGAGGAGACUCCAUAUGUUUGAAGAUGAGGGGGAAGAAUAAAGCACCAUUGAGGUACCACUUGAGGGAUUGCCAGGAUGGGGAUGGAGAAUGAAUGAUGCUAUGCCAGUGAGCAAGAACAGUUUUGGGUAUAACAAUUGCCCUGUGUGUGAAUAUUAGGAGGAUAUAGUUGGAAACAUAUCAGGACUCCUUUUACUGUAAAAUAUUUUCAGUAAUCUCCCCACACAGUUUUUUCCUUCUUAGCUUCUCAACUAUAAAAGACUAUAAAAUGACUAUUUUAGGUUCUCCUUCAAGAUCCAUGACUUACCUAGCCCUGGGAAGCUGACUAGGUUUCCUGUAACAGGAAUAGUUUUCCUCUUGUUGAAUGAAUUUUAAGUUCAAUCAGGGAGCUGUUAGUUAUUAUCAAGGUCUGUGUACCACUACUGCAUUUGUAGAAUUAUUAUUCCAUGCUAGGCAAUUUAGGGGUUCAUUAGAUGGGUGGUACUGCUGAUUGCUUCCUUUCUUAGUAAGCUUGCCUUGUACCUUCAGGUGCCUUAAAGCCAGUUUUCAGAGAGGAGGCAUUUAGGUAAAUUCCUGCUCAGGAGCCUCUGCGUCCUGCAUCUAAGUUACAUGAUAUCUUCAGUAGUAGGAACUUGCCUUGUACCUCUGACGACCAACUAAGGGCAGUAGUAACAUGCUGUAAUGUUUGACAGUUUGUUGAACAACAAUCAUUAACUAAUUCUAAGUAUUUGUUCUUAUACCCACAGGUAAUUAUAGUCUUCAACCCUCAUCGAGGAAAAUUCUGUUUGCUACUGAUGGAAACACUGCAGAUCAGAGCUAAUCAAAAUCCAGAGUAGUGGAGCCCAAUACCAAAGAUACAUUUACAAAAAAAACCUCCCAUACCUAAGGUUCAGGGAACAUUGCAGAAGCAGGGCAGACAAAUUGUAAGAACGGAGAAUCAGGAAGCUUGUUGUGAGAUUACAUCUGCUAGUAAACCAGAAGCUACCCCUAUAAAGUCUCACCAACAUGACUUCUUAAACAUGACCUGAACAAAGCCAACAACAAUAGGCAUGCCAAAGUGGAUAUAAGAAAGCCCAUGAGGCCUCAACCCAACAUGAAGAAUGACAGGCAACUGAGGAAUACUGAAAAUGGAAAAAAUCUCCUAGUAUUCCCCAGGGAAGAACACACCAAAAAAGUUAUACAAUACAAAAUAAUCAGUCUUCAAAACAUAUAUACAAGUAACAUUAAAUAGAAUGAGCAGGUUAUGUGUAAAGCAGACUAAAAUCUGUAAACCACAAGGUGGUUAGGUAUAGAGUGACUAUGGGUUAGGGAAGAAUCUCUUGAGGAAGGAGAAACAGAACAAUAGAACAUAUAGCUAAAGAAAUAUGUAGGAUGCGUGUAGGAUGGGUUUUUACUGCAUUUUUAUUAGCUGAUUUUGAUUAUUUUUUGAGAAUAUGUUUACAUUAAUUUGGAGUAUGCUUAUGUUAUUUUAUAAAAUAUGUUCUUUGGUAAAUCACAUGUGUAUAUAAUGCAGUCUGAUCACACAUUGCCUGCAUUCACGGGUGUGAGAACAAUCUGUUAUCAUUUAUCAAUCAUUAUUUCUCUUCUGAGUUUAACUCCUUGGUUUGUAAGGUACUUGAAAUUUUCUGUGUAUUUUUCAAGAAUAUAAGUCUAUUAUACCUUU
Long non-coding RNA from Mesocricetus auratus (golden hamster), 7832 nucleotides. RefSeq lists it as uncharacterized. NCBI's taxonomy places the organism in Eukaryota, Metazoa, Chordata, Mammalia, Rodentia, Cricetidae. The record is from RefSeq and is a predicted model, not a curated record. The transcript has 4 exons.